This 254-nucleotide ribosomal RNA is filed under the name uncultured bacterium. RNAcentral describes it as "partial 16S ribosomal RNA". It matches the Rfam family "Bacterial small subunit ribosomal RNA", at positions 524 to 776 of the family's 1533-position model. The record is from RNAcentral.
UACAGAGGGUGCAAGCGUUGUUCGGAAUUAUUGGGCGUAAAGGGCGCGUAGGCGGCCACCGCAAGUCGAUUGUGAAAUCUCCGGGCUUAACCCGGAAAGGUCAACCGAUACUGCGGGGCUAGAGUGCAGAAGGGGCAACUGGAAUUCUCGGUGUAGCGGUGAAAUGCGUAGAUAUCGAGAGGAACACCUGCGGCGAAGGCGGGUUGCUGGGCUGACACUGACGCUGAAGUGCGAAAGCUAGGGGAGCGAACGGG